GGAGGCAAGAAUCUACCACAGCAUGUACUCAUGAAAGCAAGCAGAAACUUUUCUCACCAGAAAAAAACGACAGCUUUAUUUAGCAGCUUUAUGAAUAUAUUCAAACAUCUGCAUAACACGCAGAUUUAUGUGCUUCUUCAGAAAUAACUUGUAAAUGUUUUAAGAGUUGCUGCUUUGUCUGGUACCAGACCUCAGGGGGGGUGACAUCUCUGGCGUGACAUCUCUGUAGUUCCUCUCAGUGGAAGUUGGGAUUGGUCGUUAAAAUUAUGAAGUAAGUGGCCUUGACACGUCAGACCAGUGUUCACGUUUGAUCUUUCAUUUAUGCUCUAUGUUGCUUUCUUUGUGACUAUCACCAUCUUCUUUGUGGCUUAAACCAAAAAGCUAAGCCUGGUUGACCCCAACCAAUAAACCUGAGCUGGCUGAAACAGUCAGAAAUAUUCACAAGAGUAAAUGAAGUUACUUUUAAUAUAGAUGCACAAAAUAUAUCAGUGAACGAGGACAAAUGUACUAACUACUGUAUAUGUGUAUCCCUGGUUUGGAGUAGGGGUGUUCCGAUACAGCAUGUUUACUCCCAAUACGAUACCAAUAUUGUUGGCUUCAGUAUUGGCCCAUACCGAUAUUGAUCCGAUAUUUGCACAAAAUUGUGCAUUACAAGUUUUGCACUCAGCUGCAAUGUCUUUUUCCGACUUUAACGAAAAAUACUGCUACAUGGCCAACAUCACUGCGACUCCUUGUUACUUUGAUAGUACCUUAGUACAAACUAAUGUUGUAAUUACGUGGACUCUACAUGCUGUAUCCGAGCGCUUGAAUGGACUACUUGUAUCGGAGUGCUGAUAUCAGAGAUUUUAGAUACAGGCUGAUAUAAUCCGAUAUUUGUUUUUUUGCUGAUAUCGGACAGAUAUCAAUAUCGGAUCGGGACAUCCCUUGUUAUAAGUAUUUUUUUUUUUUUUUAAAUGUCUGUUAUGGUUACCUGGGGAGGCAGUAUAACAAUGGGUAUUUUGGCUUCCCUUUUGUUCAACUGGAUGAGAGGCAUGUCAUCCAUCUUUAAAGUUAAAGGUGUACACAAUUAUUAAGACAAGGUUUUCAUCAGAAUUUCUUGAUUUUGAAUAAUUGGUGACUGAGGCAUCAACAGGAAAUUCUUCCUGCACUAAGGUUACAUUAAUGGCAUUCAACUAUGGAGUGGUUUAUUCACAACUAUUUAUGCAUGUUGAAAGUUCCAGACGGUUUUGUAUCCGUACAAUAAAAAACAUCCAAAAUUGAAUAAUUUAGGGCUGGAGUGUUUCGUAUGCCUCAACUGAAAUCAAGGUUAAAUCUCUCAACACUGAAUAUUUAUAAAACAUCAUGGUCUCCAAAAAAGAAAAAAAACAAUCAAAGUCAUGUAGCAACUCCUAAAAAGUGCUGAAGUGCACGAAAGCUUGUUAUAUCAUCACAGGGUCAUACAGCUACACAUGUUUUAACUUAGAGGGUGCUGGAUUUAAACGUACUAAUCUGAUGUUGGAUGAGUUGCACUUUGGUGGAAGCAGUGAAGGGAAUGACUUCAUUGCUUUACAGCUUUUUUCCAGUUGAGUAUGAGCCUCUGUUUUCUGGAAAUAUGACAUGAAUUGAUUCUGUUUAAUCCAUUGUUUUCAUUUUGUUUCAUGCCUUUAAUUUAGGGAAGCAGUUGUUGCGUUGUUGUUCUCAUUGUUCUUAACAUUGCCAUACUUAUUCCCUCGAUAUUGUUUUUAUUGGUUUGUCAUUCAGUCUGUGACCCAAAUGUCCUCUCAUACCUUUGGUGGCAGACGCUCUUCACAAGUCGCUACGAUCAGAGGGGCAGUGUUAACCUGUUUUGAAGGCUGUUGGAUUAUUUUACAAUAAAGAAAUGGAUAUUUUUCCCAGAGUGUAGUUCAAAGGAUUCUGCUUCAUGGAGAAAAUCCACCCUAAAAUAAAACUGACUCUGAUCACAGACUGCUCAAUCAGUCCGUAUGGAUGAAAUACACUCCUCUGUGUUGUCAUCACAAACACUCGUCCACAUAAAGCGCGUCUGAAAAUAAACAGUUUUGAGGACAAAUUUUUUUUUUGUUUUCACAAAGCCAUGUUGAUUUUGAUUCCCCAUCAAUGAAACACCUGCAAGGUUUGCCUCAGCGGUACCUGUUGUCGCUGGCAGAAAGAAGGAAACUGUAUUCUGGUUCAUGUUCAAACAAGAAAAUAAUAUGCAAAUUAUGUUCUGGGUCGGAUUUUCCAUUUGACUCACCAUAUUGCACAACCAGGCCAAGAAACAUUGGUUUUAGCUGAAAAGCAGAUGUGAGUAAGAGGGAUUUGAAGACCCACAAAGGCAUACAUGUCAGGCACAGAAUACUGAAGUGAGAAGCUCUUAAACCAAUUCAACCUUGUGUGCUUUAACAUGUCAGUCAUUUCAGAAAGAAAGGUCUUACUACUGAAAGCAUCGUCAGUGUUGCACCUUAUUUCAACUACAGCAAAGAAGCGGGAAAGACAGAAAGAAAGAAAGGAAGUAAAGAAGGAAAGAAGGACUGAGGAUAGGGAAGAAAGGAAAAAAGCUCUUACUAAUUCAAGCAUUGUCAGUGUUGCACCUUAUUUCAUCUACAGCAAAGAAGCAGGAAAGACAGACAGAGAGAAAGGAAGGAAGUAAAGAAGGAAAGAAGGACUGAGGAUAGGGAAGAAAGGAAAAAAGCUCUUACUAAUUCAAGCAUUGUCAGUGUUGCACCUUAUUUCAACUACAGCAAAGAAGCGGGAAAGAGAGAAAGGAGGGAAAGAAGGAAGAAGGAAGAAAGGACAGAAGAAAGGAAGGAAGGAAGGAAAGGUCUUACUAAUUCAAGCAUUGGUCAGUGUUGCACCUUAUUUCAACUACAGCAAGAAAGAAAGAAAGAAAGAAAGAAAAAGGAAUAACUGAAGGCAGGGAAGGAAGGAAAGAAAGGAGGGAAAAAGAAAGAAGAGACAAAGAAGUAAGGAAGUAAGGAAAGACAGAAAAGAAAGAAAGAAAGAAGGAAGGAAGGAAGGAAGGAAGGAAAAAAGAAAAAGAAAGACAGAAAGAGAAUCAGACAUACAAAAAGAAGGGAAGGAUGGAAGGAAGAAAGAAGUAGGGAAGGAAAAAAAGGUAGGAAGGAGGAAGACAGAAAAAGAAAGGACAGAAGAAACAAAGAAGUAGAGGAGAUGGAAAGAAAGAGGAAAGAAAGAAGUAGGGAAGGAAGGAGGAAGAAGGGAAGGAAGGAAGAAAAGAAAGAAAGAGAAGUAGAGAAGGAAGGAAGGAAGAAAAAAAGAGAAGUAGGGAAGGAAGGAAGGAAACUAGCAAGGAAGGAAAGAAAUAA
Xyrichtys novacula (pearly razorfish) is the source of this 3302-nucleotide non-coding RNA. NCBI's taxonomy places the organism in Eukaryota, Metazoa, Chordata, Actinopteri, Labriformes, Labridae. The record is from the annotation of a GenBank genome assembly.